AGUGAACGCUGGCGGUAGGCCUAACACAUGCAAGUCGAACGGCAGCACAGUAAGAGCUUGCUCUUACGGGUGGCGAGUGGCGGACGGGUGAGGAAUACAUCGGAAUCUACUUUUUCGUGGGGGAUAACGUAGGGAAACUUACGCUAAUACCGCAUACGACCUACGGGUGAAAGCAUGGGAUCUUCGGACCUUGCGCGAUUGAAUGAGCCGAUGUCGGAUUAGCUAGUUGGCGGGGUAAAGGCCCACCAAGGCGACGAUCCGUAGCUGGUCUGAGAGGAUGAUCAGCCACACUGGAACGGAGACACGGUCCAGACUCCUACGGGAGGCAGCAGUGGGGAAUAUUGGACAAUGGGCGCAAGCCUGAUCCAGCCAUACCGCGUGGGUGAAGAAGGCCUUCGGGUUGUAAAGCCCUUUUGUUGGGAAAGAAAAGCAGCAGGUUAAUACCCCGCUGUUCUGACGGUACCCAAAGAAUAAGCACCGGCUAACUUCGUG
This 492-nucleotide ribosomal RNA is filed under the name uncultured bacterium. RNAcentral describes it as "partial 16S ribosomal RNA". It matches the Rfam family "Bacterial small subunit ribosomal RNA", at positions 29 to 507 of the family's 1533-position model. The record is from RNAcentral.